GACGAACGCUGGCGGCGUGCUUAACACAUGCAAGUCGAACGGAAAGGCCUGCUUUCCCUUGUGGAUUGCGGGUACUCGAGUGGCGAACGGGUGAGUAACACGUGAGUGAUCUGCCCCCAACUUGGGUAUAAGCCUGGGAAACUGGGUCUAAUUUCCGAUAGGACUGCAGGGUGGUGCCUGUGGUGGAAAACGAUUUUCUAGUGGUUGGGGAUGAGCUCGCGGCCUAUCAGCUUGUUGGUGGGGUAAUGGCCUACCAAGGCGGCGACGGGUAGCCGGCCUGAGGGGGUGGGCGGCCACAUUGGGACUAAGAGACGGCCCAGACACCUAAGGGAGGCAGCAGGGGGGAAUAAUGCACAAUGGGCGGAAGCCUGAGGCAGCGACGCCGCGUGGGGGAUGACGGCCUUCGGGUUGUAAACUCCUUUCGACCGCGAGGAAGCCACCUGGUUGGAAGGGUGGUGACGGUAGUGGUAGAAGAAGCACCGGCUAACUACGUG
Molecule: ribosomal RNA, 494 nt
Filed under: uncultured bacterium
Lineage: Bacteria
Description: partial 16S ribosomal RNA
Rfam family: Bacterial small subunit ribosomal RNA
Source: RNAcentral